Anolis carolinensis (green anole) is the source of this 542-nucleotide long non-coding RNA. RefSeq lists it as uncharacterized. The record is from RefSeq and is a predicted model, not a curated record. The transcript is spliced from 4 exons. NCBI's taxonomy places the organism in Eukaryota, Metazoa, Chordata, Lepidosauria, Squamata, Anolidae.
AGAAAAAGGAGCCCCACCGCCUCUUCCACGCCCUCACUCUCUCCUUCUUCCCUGGCUGCAGGAGCAGCGGCAGCCAGGGAAGGGGCCUGCCAGCGCUGGACAGCGGGAAUCCUUCCAGUUGGGACAUAGUCUGAAGCUUGAUGGUGCCAACCUGAUGGAUUACUGGGUAGAAGCCAAGUCGACCAAUUUGAACAGAAGAGAAUACGACACCUUGAAAGAAUGAAAGAAAAGAAAAGCCCCCCUCUGAGGAGAUGGAGGAAAAACAAAUUGAAUCUUAAAUCCCCGAACUGACCAAAACCAUACAGUCCCCUCCACCUUUUUUAAAGUGAAAGAAUGUUUAUACCUGUGGGUAAGGCCUUGUGGCCCUGAAAGGCCUGCAUUCAUAAGGAGAGUAUUUAGCAAUUCAUGGUUGCCAAGGUAAGCAGGGAAGGCAUCCCCUCCACAACUUUGCUCCAUUUAAAGAAAAUAGUCUCCACGGUAACAAGCUCACUUCCUUGGAGAUCAAAAUAUCGACCUUUAUUUUAUGGCACAAAAUAUUCAAU